RNAcentral lists this ribosomal RNA (253 nucleotides) under uncultured bacterium. RNAcentral's name for it is "partial 16S ribosomal RNA". It matches the Rfam family "Bacterial small subunit ribosomal RNA", at positions 524 to 776 of the family's 1533-position model. The record is from RNAcentral.
UACGGAGGUGGCAAGCGUUGCUCGGAAUCACUGGGCGUAAAGGGCGCGUAGGCGGGGAGGUAAGUCGGGUGUGAAAUCCCUUGGCUCAACCGAGGAACUGCGCCCGAGGCUGCUUCUCUUGAGUCCCGGAGAGGAAGGUGGAAUUCCCGGUGUAGCGGUGAAAUGUGUAGAGAUCGGGAGGAACACCGGUGGCGAAGGUGGCCUUCUGGACGGUGACUGACGCUGAGGCGCGAAAGCGUGGGGAGCAAACGGG